Molecule: small nuclear RNA, 106 nt
Filed under: Vulpes vulpes (red fox)
Lineage: Eukaryota; Metazoa; Chordata; Mammalia; Carnivora; Canidae
Source: RNAcentral
AUGCUUGUUUUGGAAGCACAUAUACUAAAAUUGGAAGUAUACAGAGAAGAUUAGCCUGGUCCCUCUGUAAGGAUGACACACAAAUCGUGAAGUGUUCCAUUAAAAA